UGCUAGUCGCGUGCUUCAGCCAAAACGAGGCACGGCAAACAGCUCAGUAACACGUGGCUAAUCUGCCCUUGGGAUAGGAACAACCCCGGGAAACUGGGGCUAAUUCCCAAUAGGUGAAGAACUCUGGAAUGAGUCUUUGCCAGAAAAGAGCUUACGUUAUGCUCGUAAGUUUCGCCCAAGGAUGAGGCCGCGACCGAUCAGGUUGUUGGUGAGGUAAUGGCUCACCAAGCCUUUUACCGGUGCGGGCCGUGAGAGCGGGAGCCCGGAGAUGGGCACUGAGACAAGGGCCCAGGCCCUACGGGGCGCAGCAGUCGCGAAAACUUUGCAAUACACGAAAGUGUGACAGGGCUAUCCCGAGUGCCAUCCGCUGAGGAAGGCUUUUACCCAGUCUAGAACGCUGGGGGAAUAAGGAGAGGGCAAGUCUGGUGUCAGCCGCCGCGGUAAUACCAGCUCUCCGAGUGGUGUGGAUGUUUAUUGGGCCUAAAGCAUCCGUAGCUGGCUAGGUAAGUCCUUUGUUAAAUCCACCGAAUUAAUCGUUGGAUCGCGGGGGAUACUGCUUGGCUAGGGGACGAGAGAGGCAGACGGUAUUUUUGGGGUAGGGGUGAAAUCCUAUAAUCCCAGGAAGACCACCAGUGGCGAAGGCUGUCUGCUAGAACGCGCCCGACGGUGAGGGAUGAAAGCUGGGGGAGCGAACCGGAUUAGAUACCCGGGUAGUCCCAGCUGUAAACGAUGCAGGCUAGGUGUUUGGACGGCCACGUGCCGUUCUAGUGCCGCAGGAAGCUGUUAAGCCUGCCGCCUGGGGAGUACGAUCGCAAGAUUGAAACUUAA
RNAcentral lists this ribosomal RNA (828 nucleotides) under uncultured crenarchaeote. RNAcentral's name for it is "bacterial SSU rRNA". It matches the Rfam family "Archaeal small subunit ribosomal RNA", at positions 52 to 859 of the family's 1478-position model. Lineage: Archaea; Thermoproteati; Thermoproteota. The record is from RNAcentral.